RNAcentral lists this long non-coding RNA (1867 nucleotides) under Homo sapiens (human). RNAcentral describes it as "HSALNT0103012". Lineage: Eukaryota; Metazoa; Chordata; Mammalia; Primates; Hominidae. The record is from RNAcentral.
UUUGCAACAUGGAUGAACCUCGAUGUCAUUAUGCUAAGUGAAACAAGCCAGACACAGCAAGAAAAAUACUGCAUGAUCUCUUAUGUGGAUUCUAAAAAAGUCAAAUACAUAGAAGCAGAGUAGAACAGUGGUUACCAGGGGUGGAGACGUAUGGAAAUGGUUAAGAUGUUGGUCAAAGGAUACAAAGUUGCAGUUCUAUAGGAUGAAUAAGUCUAGAGAUGUAAUGCAUAGCAUAACUAUAGUUAAUACUGCAUUGUGCAUUGGAAACUUGCGGAGAGUACAUUUCAUGCGCUCUCACCACUUACACAAAAUAGUAACUGUGAAGAGAUGUAUUAUGUUAAUUAGCUUGACUGUAGAAAUCAUUUCACUGUGUACAUGUAUCAAAACAUCAUGUUGUACACCUUAAAUAUAUAGUUUUUAUUUUUAAAACACUGUUUGGGAUUAAAAGCCCAGCUAAUUCUGCCUUAAUAUCUCAUUCUUAUCCACAAUGUCCACCCAUAAGAAAGACGCCCGAUACUCCGUGUAAACACACACUCCCCAUCUCCCAUACAAAUUUACCUUCUAGAGAGAGCCCUUUUCCCCAAACUCUCCUCUCAAAACACUCUGAAGCACAAGGUCUUUAGCCUAGUUAGACAUUUUCUGAAAAACUUAGUUUAACUCAGCGUAGAGACACCAUGAAUUUCAGAGACCCAGUCCUGGGCCUGCUUCAGUUGCUUUAGCCUAGAGUUUCAACUCCCAGGUCCCGGGGAGGGAUGCUCCAAGGAAGAAAUAGAGGCCCUAUUCCAGGGCUGUUUCUCGCAGACUAGCCACAGAAAAUGCAGCCCAGCGCCACUUCCUUUCAGUAGCAACACGUUUCCAACACGUUUGUUAAGCGGGAACGGAAGUGAGCGGAAAGGAAUGCGUUUGGUAAAUCCCACUUUAAGGAUUUCGUAAUCCUCCCAGGGAUUCCCACCACCCGCACUCCACUCGCAGACUGCGGGCCUUCCUCCGACGCUGGGAGAAGGACCCUGGGAGAGGCAAGGGAAGGGCUCCGGAACCAGCGCAGCAGCGGGACGCUAGCCCGCCCACACGGCGGCCACUUGAAGGUCCUCCAGGGAACACCUGAGGCAGUGGGAGCGUCUGCCCUUUCCUAAGUCUCCUUGGAAAGAAGUAUUCGCUUUCGUUUCCGCAAACAAAGCAUGCUCCGCGCUUUCAGGACCGGUGGCUCCCGUGGAGACCGCAGCGGAACCCAGUCCGCCUUCGCACGCGUCCGGGGGAGAAGCGGCCCCAGGACUAAGGGCGCGCGCCCGAGGAACCGGUGCUGUGACGACCAGAGCAAACACGCCGGAUGUUCCUGUGUAGGCUGUCCUUUUUAGAACCAAGCAACGCCAAUUACCAACAAAAUCCGUUGCGCCGCAGUGAGUUAGCUACCUUCUAUCUCCACUUUGUUCUGCACGUCGAUCUCAGGAGAAGCCAGCUCCCAUGUUAAGAAGUUCAAAUACCUAGAGACUGCGAUGGUUUGCAGAGGCUCAAGCUAACCACAUGGAAAGACAUGGAGAGAUAUUCCUUGCCAACCCUCAACUACUCCAACUAUUCUAAGACAUCAAACCUAAAAACAAACCGCAGGUCACCCACCGGUCUGAAGAGGAGGAUGAGAGACAAAGAAAAAAGUUGUCUGGCUGCCUCUGCUGUCUACAGAUUGAAGAAGAUCCAUCCAGCUGAGCCCAGCCUAGACCAGCUGACUUCUCCAAUAAGCCUGUAUGAAAUAAAUGCUUAUUGUUAUGUGACCUUGAGCUUUGAAGAUAGUUUGUUAUGCAAUAAUUGUUGAUUCUUUCACCCUGUCUUUGUUGAACUGUUAUAGACGUCUUAAUAGGAGUUCACAAUUCAG